GGACCAUUAGCUCAGUUGGUUAGAGCUACCGGCUCAUAACGGGUAGGUCCGCGGUUCGAAUCCGUGAUGGCCCACCA
RNAcentral lists this transfer RNA (77 nucleotides) under Oscillospiraceae bacterium. RNAcentral's name for it is "tRNA-Ile". It matches the Rfam family "tRNA". Rfam says of the family: Transfer RNA (tRNA) molecules are approximately 80 nucleotides in length. Their secondary structure includes four short double-helical elements and three loops (D, anti-codon, and T loops). The record is from RNAcentral. Lineage: Bacteria; Bacillati; Bacillota; Clostridia; Eubacteriales; Oscillospiraceae.